CUCCGUGCCAACCUCCCUCCUCAUGCGGUGGAGGCUGCCGGGGUCCUAGCCGGUUUCGGCGGGAGCGGCGGCCGCAACAUGGCAGAGACCGCAGCCGGAGUGGGCCGCUUCAAGGCCAACUAUGUUGUGGAGUGCAAAAUCGAACCUUUCUACAAGGGUGGAAAAGCACAGCUGGACCAGACUGGCCAGCACCUCUUCUGUGUCUGUGGCACCAGAGUCAACAUUCUGGAGGUGGCCUCCGGGGCCGUGCUGCAGAGUCUGGAGCAGGAAGACCAGGAGGAUAUCACUGCCUUCGAUCUCAGUCCUGACGAUGAGGUGCUGGUGACAGCCAGCCGGGCAUUGCUGCUGGCUCAGUGGGCCUGGCGAGAGGGCAGCUUUACCCGCCUUUGGAAGGCGAUACACACAGCCCCUGUGGCCCCCAUGACCUUCGACCCCACCGCCACGCUGCUAGCCAUGGGUGGCUGUGACGGGGCUGUGCGCGUCUGGGACACUGUGCGGCACUAUGGGACACACCAUUUACGAGGCUCGUCCAGUGUUGUGCACCUGGUGGCCUUCCACCCAGACCCCACACGCCUGCUGCUCUCCUCGGCCGCAGAAGCACUGCAGGAUCCGUCGUGCCUGGCUGUGCUGACUGCCCACUACAGCACUGUCACCUCACUGGCUUUCAGUGCCGACGGCCACACUAUGCUCAGCUCCGGCUGUGACAAGAUCUGUAUCAUCUGGGACCUUCAGAGCCACCAGGCCACGAGGACUGUGCUGGUGUUUGAGAACGUGGAGACCGCUGUGCUGUUGCCAGAGGAGCUGGCAUCUGAGCUGGGUAUGAAGUCCCCAGGCCUGCACUUCCUGACAGCUGGCGACCAAGGCACUCUGCGCGUGUGGGAGGCAGCUUCUGGGCAGUGUGUGUACACGCAGGCCCGGCCGCCGGGCCCUGGGCGGGAGCUGACCCACUGCACCCUGGCCCGCACCGCCGGCCUGCUCCUCAGCGCCACUGCCGACCAUGACCUGCUGCUCUACGAGGCUCACUCCCCGCGGCUGCAGAAACAGUGCACUGGCUAUAGUGAGGAGGUCCUGGAUGCCCGGUUUCUUGGGUCUCAGGACUCCCACAUCAGCGUGGCCUCCAAUAGCCCCUGCCUGACAGUGUUUGAGCUACAGACAUCAGCCUGCCAGAUCCUCCAUGGCCACAGGGAUAUCGUUCUGGCUCUGGACGUGUUCCGGAAGGGGUGGCUCUUUGCCAGCUGUGCCAAGGAUCAGAGUGUCCGAAUCUGGAGGAUGAACAAGGCUGGCCAGGUGGUCUGCAUGACUCAGGGUUCCGGCCAUAUGCACAGUGUCGGCACCAUCUGCUGCUCUAGGCUGAAGGAGCCCUUCCUGGUGACGGGCAGCCAGGACUGCACUGUGAAGCUGUGGCCUCCUCCCAAAGCCCUGCUGUCUAAGAACACAGCCCCAGACAGUGGCCCUGUCCUCCUGCAGGCCCAGAACACUCAGCGUUGCCACGAUAAGGAUAACAACAGCGUGGCCACUGCCCCCAACGACAAGCUGUUGGCCACGGGCUCAUAGGAACGCAUGGCCAAGCUCUGGGCCCUGUCACAGUGCCAGCUGCUGGGUGUCUUCUCAGGCCACCGGCACGGCCUCUGGUGUGUCCAGUUCUCUCCCACGGACCAGGUGCCGGCCACAGCCUCAGCUGACGGCACCAUCAAGCUCUGGGCGCUCUAGGACUUCAGCUGUCUCAAGACAUUUGAGGGACACGAUGCUUCCAUGCUGAAGGUGGCCUUUGUGAGCUGGGGCACACAGCUGCUGUCCAGCGGCUCAGAUGGCCUUGUGAAGCUCUGGACCAUCAAGAACAACGAGUGUGUGCAGACGCUGGAUGCCCACGAUGACAAGGCCUGGGGGCCGCACCACAGCCAGCUGGAUGACCGCACCCUCACUGGCGCCAGCGACUCCCAAGUCAUCCUCUGGAAGGAUGUGA
Non-coding RNA from Callithrix jacchus (white-tufted-ear marmoset), 1963 nucleotides. Lineage: Eukaryota; Metazoa; Chordata; Mammalia; Primates; Cebidae. The record is from RefSeq and is a predicted model, not a curated record.